Lolium rigidum is the source of this 220-nucleotide long non-coding RNA. RefSeq lists it as uncharacterized. NCBI's taxonomy places the organism in Eukaryota, Viridiplantae, Streptophyta, Magnoliopsida, Poales, Poaceae. The transcript has 3 exons. The record is from RefSeq and is a predicted model, not a curated record.
AGAAACUCUUUGAGCAGUUCCAUAUACAUAUGCGUUUUUAGAAGGAGAAGGAUCAUCUAAAAAAUGGAUGUACUAAAGUGGAUUCCGUGGUUCAGCAAAACUGAUGCCCUUGCUGGAUAUGCAUUCAUUGAUGGAUCUUACAUGAUGUCCUGGCUAGAUAGCUGAGAUUGAUUGUCCUUGAAGUGAAGAGUGAUGCCUUGAAGCUAGAUGUUAUCUGGUC